RNAcentral lists this ribosomal RNA (981 nucleotides) under uncultured bacterium. Its description in RNAcentral is "bacterial SSU rRNA". It matches the Rfam family "Bacterial small subunit ribosomal RNA", at positions 28 to 1013 of the family's 1533-position model. The record is from RNAcentral.
GAUGAACGCUAGCGGCAGGCUUAACACAUGCAAGUCGAGGGGUAGGAGAAGCUUGCUUUUCUGAGACCGGCGCACGGGUGCGUAACGCGUAUGCAAUCUACCUUUCACAGAGGGAUGGCCCAGAGAAAUUUGGAUUAAUACCUCAUAGUAUACUUGAAUGGCAUCAUUUAAUUAUUAAAGAUUUAUCGGUGAAAGAUGAGCAUGCGUCCCAUUAGCUAGUUGGUAUGGUAACGGCAUACCAAGGCAACGAUGGGUAGGGGUCCUGAGAGGGAGAUCCCCCACACUGGUACUGAGACACGGACCAGACUCCUACGGGAGGCAGCAGUGAGGAAUAUUGGACAAUGGGCGCAAGCCUGAUCCAGCCAUGCCGCGUGCAGGAUGACGGUCCUAUGGAUUGUAAACUGCUUUUAUACAGGAAGAAACACCUCUACGUGUAGAGACUUGACGGUACUGUAAGAAUAAGGAUCGGCUAACUCCGUGCCAGCAGCCGCGGUAAUACGGAGGAUCCAAGCGUUAUCCGGAAUCAUUGGGUUUAAAGGGUCCGUAGGCGGUCAGGUAAGUCAGUGGUGAAAGCCCAUCGCUCAACGGUGGAACGGCCAUUGAUACUGUCUGACUUGAAUUAUUAGGAAGUAACUAGAAUAUGUAGUGUAGCGGUGAAAUGCUUAGAGAUUACAUGGAAUACCAAUUGCGAAGGCAGGUUACUACUAAUUGAUUGACGCUGAUGGACGAAAGCGUGGGUAGCGAACAGGAUUAGAUACCCUGGUAGUCCACGCCGUAAACGAUGGAUACUAGCUGUUGGGAGCAAUCUCAGUGGCUAAGCGAAAGUGAUAAGUAAUCCACCUGGGGAGUACGAACGCAAGUUUGAAACUCAAAGGAAUUGACGGGGGCCCGCACAAGCGGUGGAGCAUGUGGUUUAAUUCGAUGAUACGCGAGGAACCUUACCAAGGCUUAAAUGUAGAUUGACCGUUUGGAAACAGAACU